AAUAGCUCAGUCGGUAGAGCGCUCGGCUGUUAACCGAUAGGUCGUAGGUUCGAGUCCUACUU
Molecule: transfer RNA, 62 nt
Filed under: mouse gut metagenome
Also listed under: 1 other name
Rfam family: tRNA
About the family: Transfer RNA (tRNA) molecules are approximately 80 nucleotides in length. Their secondary structure includes four short double-helical elements and three loops (D, anti-codon, and T loops). Further hydrogen bonds mediate the characteristic L-shaped molecular structure. tRNAs have two regions of fundamental functional importance: the anti-codon, which is responsible for specific mRNA codon recognition, and the 3' end, to which the tRNAs corresponding amino acid is attached (by aminoacyl-tRNA synthetases). tRNAs cope with the degeneracy of the genetic code in two manners: having more than one tRNA (with a specific anti-codon) for a particular amino acid; and 'wobble' base-pairing, i.e. permitting non-standard base-pairing at the 3rd anti-codon position.
Source: RNAcentral